UACGAAGGGUGCAAGCGUUACUCGGAAUUACUGGGCGUAAAGCGUGCGUAGGUGGUGAGUUAAGUCUGUCGUGAAAUCCCCGGGCUCAACCUGGGAACUGCAUUUGUGACUGUAGAGCUGGAGUACGGCGAGAGGGGGAUGGAAUUCCGCGUGUACAGUGAAAUGCGUAGAUAUGCGGAGGAACACCGAUGGCGAAGGCAGGUCUCU
RNAcentral lists this ribosomal RNA (207 nucleotides) under uncultured bacterium. RNAcentral's name for it is "partial 16S ribosomal RNA". It matches the Rfam family "Bacterial small subunit ribosomal RNA", at positions 524 to 730 of the family's 1533-position model. The record is from RNAcentral.